RNAcentral lists this transfer RNA (67 nucleotides) under Hybomitra bimaculata. RNAcentral's name for it is "tRNA-Tyr". It matches the Rfam family "tRNA". Rfam says of the family: Transfer RNA (tRNA) molecules are approximately 80 nucleotides in length. Their secondary structure includes four short double-helical elements and three loops (D, anti-codon, and T loops). The record is from RNAcentral. RNAcentral also lists the same sequence under 10 other names. Lineage: Eukaryota; Metazoa; Arthropoda; Insecta; Diptera; Tabanidae.
GAUUAAAUGGCUGAAUUAUAGGCAAUAGAUUGUAAAUCUAUGUAUGAAGAUUUAACUUCUUUAAUCA